UUUUGGGAGGCGGCAGAAAGGAAUAUUGCGCAAUGGGCGAAAGCCUGACGCAGCGACGCCGUGUGAAGGAUGAUGGCCUUGGGGUGGUAAACCCCUUUUCCCGAGGAAGAAAUAUGACGGUACUCGGGGAAUAAGUCAGGGCUAAAUACGUGCCAGCAGCCGCGGUAAUACGUAGAAGGCGAACGUUAUCCGGAUUUAUUGGGGGUAAAGAGGGGGUAGACGGUUUUUUAAGUCAGUUGUGAAAUAUCCCGGGUCAAUUCGGAGAAUGCAAGUGAUAAUGGAGAGCUUGAGGGCAUGAGAGGGAAGGGGAAUUCCCGGUGUAGCGGUGAAAUGCGUAGAUAUUGUGAGGAACACCAGUGGGGAAGGCGGCUUUCUUGGCUGCUCCUGACGCUGAGGCCCGAAAGCGUGGGGAGCGAAACGGAUUAGAUACCCCUGUAGUCCACACCCUAAACGAUGAAUACUAGGUAUAGGGGGUAUCGACCCUCUCUGUGCCGCAGCUAACGCGAUAAGUAUUC
This 515-nucleotide ribosomal RNA is filed under the name uncultured bacterium. Its description in RNAcentral is "bacterial SSU rRNA". It matches the Rfam family "Bacterial small subunit ribosomal RNA", at positions 339 to 869 of the family's 1533-position model. The record is from RNAcentral.